RNAcentral lists this ribosomal RNA (301 nucleotides) under uncultured bacterium. RNAcentral describes it as "partial 16S ribosomal RNA". It matches the Rfam family "Bacterial small subunit ribosomal RNA", at positions 509 to 807 of the family's 1533-position model. The record is from RNAcentral.
CAGUAGCCGCGGUAAUACAGAGGGUGCGAGCGUUAAUCGGAUUUACUGGGCGUAAAGCGUGCGUAGGCGGCUUCUUAAGUCGGAUGUGAAAUCCCUGAGCUUAACUUAGGAAUUGCAUUCGAUACUGGGAAGCUAGAGUAUGGGAGAGGAUGGUAGAAUUCCAGGUGUAGCGGUGAAAUGCGUAGAGAUCUGGAGGAAUACCGAUGGCGAAGGCAGCCAUCUGGCCUAAUACUGACGCUGAGGUGCGAAAGCGUGGGGAGCAAACAGGAUUAGAUACCCCGGUAGUCCCUGUCUCUUAUAC